This 84-nucleotide ribosomal RNA is filed under the name Acanthosepion pharaonis. The record is from RNAcentral. Lineage: Eukaryota; Metazoa; Mollusca; Cephalopoda; Sepiida; Sepiidae.
GUUGAAACACCACUUCUCGUACGAUCACUGAAGUUAAGCACCGCUGUGCCUGAUCAGUACUUAGAUGGGCGCCCGCUUGAGAAU